RNAcentral lists this long non-coding RNA (700 nucleotides) under Mus pahari (shrew mouse). Its description in RNAcentral is "predicted gene 15318 (MGP_PahariEiJ_G0003096.1)". The record is from RNAcentral. Lineage: Eukaryota; Metazoa; Chordata; Mammalia; Rodentia; Muridae.
GAUUUGCACUGUUGCAGCAACAAUACACCCGGUAAAAACAGUUUAAAGCAGGCAGGGCUUGUAUGGCUCAGGGUCCCAGGCCUUGUAUGGGAAGCGUCUGCCCCUUCCCCAUGGCUUAAGUCCUAAAACCAGUGCUGUGUGUUGAAGGAUUCCAUGAAUCCCAGUUGGAUUUGGAAGCUUUGAGUGAUCUAGACACACAUUCCUCUUCCUCCUGCUCACAGGUAUGGCCAGGCUUCUGCCAGUGCUCGAGGGACUCAGAAAAGUCCAGCUUGGCAUCAAGCACCUAGAAAAGACGCUAAAACAAACCACAUCCCCUCCCUUCCUGGCCACAAUCUGCCUGAGUGGCUGUCAACCCUUCCAGGAAGCUCCAUGGCUGGCGCUUGCCUGCCGGGUUGCUAUCUUCCCCCUUAGCUUGUGCUUCCCGCCACGCUCCUAAGAAAUCUAGUGUCCGUGUCUGAGCUCAUUCCACCACAGGGCUCAUUGGAUCAGCACCUGUUGAUGGUGUUUUAUUUUGAACAGAUCUUGAGUCCCAGAUUCUGAGAUUUCCUCACACACUGACAGAUGCUCCUGACACCAUGCCUGCAGCUUGAGCCCGUGCCUCCCUGCUCUGACGGACUCAUCCCCCUGGAAGUGCCAAAUUUGAGGACUAAAAGUCUGAGGGGUUGAACUGUGUCACCAGCCAGAUCCAGCCACAGAACAG